RNAcentral lists this ribosomal RNA (836 nucleotides) under Diplodia seriata. RNAcentral describes it as "eukaryotic LSU rRNA". It matches the Rfam family "Eukaryotic large subunit ribosomal RNA", at positions 89 to 943 of the family's 3401-position model. Lineage: Eukaryota; Fungi; Ascomycota; Dothideomycetes; Botryosphaeriales; Botryosphaeriaceae. The record is from RNAcentral.
GCGAGUGAAGCGGCAACAGCUCAAAUUUGAAAGCUGGCCCUUUCAGGGUCCGCAUUGUAAUUUGUAGAGGAUGAUUCGGCGAGGGCUCCCGCCUAAGUCCCCUGGAACGGGGCGUCAUAGAGGGUGAGAAUCCCGUAUGCGGUGGGCUGCCUUAGCCAUGUGAAUCUCCUUCGACGAGUCGAGUUGUUUGGGAAUGCAGCUCUAAAUGGGAGGUAAAUUUCUUCUAAAGCUAAAUACCGGCCAGAGACCGAUAGCGCACAAGUAGAGUGAUCGAAAGAUGAAAAGCACUUUGGAAAGAGAGUUAAAAAGUACGUGAAAUUGUUGAAAGGGAAGCGCUUGCAACCAGACUUGUCCGCAGUUGCUCAGCCGGUCUCCUGACCGGCGUACUCUUCUGCGGCCAGGCCAGCAUCAGUUCGGGCGGUCGGAUAAAGACCUCGGGAAUGUAGCUCCUCUCGGGGAGUGUUAUAGCCCGGGGUGGAAUGCGGCCAGCCUGGACUGAGGAUCUCGCUUCGGCAAGGAUGCUGGCGUAAUGGUUGUAAGCGGCCCGUCUUGAAACACGGACCAAGGAGUCUAACAUCUAUGCGAGUGUUUGGGUGUCAAACCCAUACGCGUAAUGAAAGUGAACGGAGGUGGGAACCCGCAAGGGUGCACCAUCGGCCGAUCCUGAUGUCUUCGGAUGGAUUUGAGCAAGAGCAUAGCUGUUGGGACCCGAAAGAUGGUGAACUAUGCCUGAAUAGGGUGAAGCCAGAGGAAACUCUGGUGGAGGCUCGCAGCGGUUCUGACGUGCAAAUCGAUCGUCAAAUUUGGGUAUAGGGGCGAAAGACUAAUCGAACCAU